Molecule: long non-coding RNA, 989 nt
Filed under: Calidris pugnax (ruff)
Lineage: Eukaryota; Metazoa; Chordata; Aves; Charadriiformes; Scolopacidae
Description: lncRNA (ENSCPUG00000019393.1)
Source: RNAcentral
AGCCAUUUAUCGGCCCCUCAGCGCACGGAGCCGCCCAGGCCCGCCCGCUCCCCGCACGCUCCGACGCCAUCGCCGCCGGCACGCGCUUCCCGCCCACCCCCGCGCGCCUAUCGCCCCGCCCACUCACCGCCCCGCGCCGGCACGCCCCCUCCCGUCACGCGCGGCAGCGUGUCCCCCAUGUUUAGAGCGGAAAAUGGCGGCGCCUGAGCGGCGGUUGUGCCGGUCGGUGCGUUGGCAGGCCGGGAGCUGAAUAAAAGGGUACACCGGCGGUGGAAAGAGCAUACGUGCCUUCGUGGGAAGGCGCAGGUCACCGAGGACCCCGUCGCUUGACUGGCGUGAAACUUCGUGGAGGCUCUCCAUCUCCCGUGCAGCCGGCACACCGGCGCGGGUCUCUUGCUGGAGGAGAUCAAGCAGCUGAUCUGCCAGCGCUAGAGAUUCCCCUUCCGGAUACAGGGACGCCCAAGGUGCUGCCAGAGUAGAGCACAUCUCAGCCAGAACGUUCACUACAACUUCCAAAGGCUCCACUGCCUCCCCCUGCGUAUCCUGCGCAGUCAGGAGAGAUGUUGUCUCUACCAGACAUGUAAGCUCAUCCCUCUCACAGCAUCGAGGACUUAUUUCGGGAAGCUUCGCCGUGCCCGUCUCCUCCACAUGCUCAGCAGAAAGGGAAUGAAGGGUUUUAAGAAGAUGGAAUGAACUGCUUCAGUCAUGCUGUGACAGCGCUGACACUCUCAGCCUCCUUCCUGAAGCUGUCACUUCCAGGCAUUAAAAAUAAUGCAAAGGUGCCACAGUGGAAGUUGAGCUAUCAUCGUGCUGGCAAUGCAGCUUUGAGAAGACACCCCUUAUUCUUCCGUUAAGGCCAUGCACCUGGAACCUGCCUGUGAUCUCCUGGCUGAAUGAAGGAACUGCUGCAGCAGAAAAAAUGUUUGGAAGAGUUGAAAUGUAAGAGGUAAAACAUACUAUUAACAACCUCCAUUAUGGAUUUGUGAAUU